GGAUGCGAUCAUACCAGCACUAAAGCACCGGAUCCCAUCAGAACUCCGAAGGUAAGCGUGCUUGGGCGAGAGUAGUACUAGGAUGGGUGACCUCCUGGGAAGUCCUCGUGUUGCAUUCC
RNAcentral lists this ribosomal RNA (119 nucleotides) under Triticum aestivum (bread wheat). RNAcentral also lists the same sequence under 1 other name. The record is from RNAcentral. Lineage: Eukaryota; Viridiplantae; Streptophyta; Magnoliopsida; Poales; Poaceae.